This 562-nucleotide long non-coding RNA is filed under the name Capsicum annuum. Its description in RNAcentral is "long non-coding RNA (CANN_LNC007066)". The record is from RNAcentral. Lineage: Eukaryota; Viridiplantae; Streptophyta; Magnoliopsida; Solanales; Solanaceae.
UAUUCUGCAAAGAAGGACAUCGUUGCCCUAUCCACCAAAUAAUCACUAAUUUCUCUUGCAGGAUUUUAUCAAAUUCAAAUAGUUAUGAAGUUUCUGAAUAAUUUAAGAGAUCCACAUUUAUAUUUGAUAUUGUGUAUAGUGGAAAAAGUGGUUGCUGACCUUUGGAGAAGAAUGUGAUGAAGUUGUCGAGGGAGAAGGAGUUGUUGACCUCAUAAUUGGUAUGUUAAAUUCGUGGACUGGCUAAUUGGCAUCGAAGGAUACAUUGUCUCAUCCAAGUUACCAAAGCCUAAUGCAAUUUAUUAAUAGAGUUUGUCACCGACUUGUCUCUUUCACCUCUAUAGGAUUAGUCUUCAACGAACUCCAACUAUCCAUAAGAGCUUGGUACUUUUCUUUUGCCCUUGAUUCCAUCUUUGUUUGACACCUGAUUGUUAAAUGUCCCAAUAUGAAGUUUAUAUGACUUUGUUUAUGCAACUUUAUGUUGGUCAGUUUUAGUUCUUUGAAUGAAGGUCUAGUGAAAUGCCUUAGUUGUGACUCUUGAGCCUAAACCAGUUCAAAAUCUUUG